RNAcentral lists this ribosomal RNA (546 nucleotides) under uncultured bacterium. RNAcentral's name for it is "bacterial SSU rRNA". It matches the Rfam family "Bacterial small subunit ribosomal RNA", at positions 777 to 1320 of the family's 1533-position model. The record is from RNAcentral.
AAUAGAUACCCGGGUAGUCCAUGCCGUAAACGUUGGGCACUAGGUGUGGGGGACAUUCCACGUUUUCCGCGCCGUAGCUAACGCAUUAAGUGCCCCGCCUGGGGAGUACGGCCGCAAGGCUAAAACUCAAAGGAAUUGACGGGGGCCCGCACAAGCGGCGGAGCAUGCGGAUUAAUUCGAUGCAACGCGAAGAACCUUACCAAGGCUUGACAUGAACCAGACCGGGCUGGAAACAGUCCUUCCCCUUGUGGGUUGGUUUACAGGUGGUGCAUGGUUGUCGUCAGCUCGUGUCGUGAGAUGUUGGGUUAAGUCCCGCAACGAGCGCAACCCUCGUUCUAUGUUGCCAGCACGUGAUGGUGGGGACUCAUAGGAGACUGCCGGGGUCAACUCGGAGGAAGGUGGGGACGACGUCAAAUCAUCAUGCCCCUUAUGUCUUGGGCUUCACGCAUGCUACAAUGGCCGGUACAAAGGGUUGCGAUACUGUGAGGUGGAGCUAAUCCCAAAAAGCCGGUCUCAGUUUGGAUUGGGGUCUGCAACUCGACCCCA